AUGUUUAUGAAUGAAAGAAGGGAAAUAGAUGAAGUAUUUCUUCAACAGGGUCCUAUUCUGAAACACAACUUACCUGUUGAAAUCCUAGGGGAUCCCCCUCCACCCAAGGGUGAUCCUGUGUUUGAGCUUAAACCAUUACCUGAUAAUCUUAAGUAUGCUUAUCUUGAUAAAAAGAAAAUAUAUCUUGUUAUUAUUAGUUCUAACCUUUCGGAGCAAGAAGAAGAAAGAUUAUUGAAAACUCUGAAAAAGCACCAUGCUGCUAUUGGAUAUACUCUGGAUGAUCUUAAGGACAUUAGUCCCACUCUAUGCCAACACAAAAUUAAAGUGGAAAAAGAUGCCAAACCAGUUAGGGAUCCUCAACGACGAUUAAAUCCUAAGAUGAAAGAAGUGGUAAGAAAGGAGAUACUAAAGCUCCUUGAGGCAGGUAUAAUUUAUCCCGUUGCUGAUAGUGAAUGGGUAAGUCCUGUCCAUUGUGUUCCUAAAAAGGGAGGUAUUACUGUCAUUCCUAAUGAUAAAGAUGAAUUGAUCCCGCAAAGAAUUAUUACAGGUUAUAGGAUGGUAAUUGAUUUCCGUAAAUUAAAUAAAGCCACUAAUAAAGAUCAUUACCCUUUACCUUUUAUUGAUCAAAUGCUAGAAAGACUAUCCAAACAUACACAUUUAUGCUUUCUAGAUGGUUAUUCUGAUUUCUCUCAAAUACCUGUGUCAGCGGAGGAUCAAUCAAAAACUACUUUUACUUGCCUUUUUGGUACUUUUGCUUAUAGACGUAUGCCUUUUGGUUUAUGUAAUGCACCUGCUACCUUUCAAAGAUGCAUGAUGGCUAUAUUAUCUGACUUUUGUGAAAUGAUUUGUGAGGUAUUCAUGGAUGAUUUCUCUGUUUAUGGAUCCUCUUUUGAUGAUUGCUUAAGCAACCUUGAUCGAGUUUUGCAAAGAUGUGAUGACACUAGUCUCGUCUUGAAUUGGGAAAAUUGCCAUUUUAUGGUUAAUGAAGGCAUUGUCUUGGGGCAUAAGAUUUUCGAGAGAGGUAUUGAAGUUGACAAAGCUAAAGUUGAUGCUAUUGAAAAGAUGCCAUAUCCCAACGACAUAAAAGGUAUAAGAAGUUUCCUUGGUCAUGCCGGUUUUUAUAGGAGGUUCAUUGAGGACUUUUCUAAAAUUCUCUAG
RNAcentral lists this ribosomal RNA (1158 nucleotides) under Triticum aestivum (bread wheat). Its description in RNAcentral is "partial small subunit ribosomal RNA". The record is from RNAcentral. Lineage: Eukaryota; Viridiplantae; Streptophyta; Magnoliopsida; Poales; Poaceae.